UACGUAGGGUGCGAGCGUUGUCCGGAAUUAUUGGGCGUAAAGAGCUUGUAGGCGGUCUGUCGCGUCUGCUGUGAAAAUCCGGGGCUCAACCCCGGACUUGCAGUGGGUACGGGCAGACUAGAGUGUGGUAGGGGAGACUGGAAUUCCUGGUGUAGCGGUGAAAUGCGCAGAUAUCAGGAGGAACACCGAUGGCGAAGGCAGGUCUCUGGGCCACUACUGACGCUGAGACGCGAAAGCCAGGGGAGCGAACGGG
RNAcentral lists this ribosomal RNA (253 nucleotides) under uncultured bacterium. RNAcentral describes it as "partial 16S ribosomal RNA". It matches the Rfam family "Bacterial small subunit ribosomal RNA", at positions 524 to 776 of the family's 1533-position model. The record is from RNAcentral.